This is a long non-coding RNA of Oreochromis aureus, 3837 nucleotides long. NCBI's taxonomy places the organism in Eukaryota, Metazoa, Chordata, Actinopteri, Cichliformes, Cichlidae. The record is from Ensembl.
AUUAUCCUUUUAAUCACCACUAUAUCACGGAUUACUUUCCACAAUAAUUAGUUAAUGCAACAAAACACACCUUUCAGCUUUUCAUGUCUUUUGAAGCGGGGUUUUUGGAGACCUGGAAUGGAAGUUUUUCUGUCUCUAAAGCACACAAAAAGGUUUGGACUUUCUUCAUAGUGCAUAUUUGAGGUUUAUUUUUUCCAAGGAAAUAAUUAACACAGUUCACCGGGCUACAUACUGAAUUCGAAGGAUACAAGCAAAGUAUCGAUCCAAUCCUGUUAGUAUCGAUCCGAUACCAAUACUAGUGUUGGUAUCGACACUAUCGAUAUUUGGAUCGAUCCAUUCCGCCCACCUCUACCAGCGGGGGGCCUCUUCUCAAGAUGGCGGCCUGUCCUUGGUGGAAGAAGGAGUGCGAUACAUUUUUAUGACAACCGGGGUUUAAAGAAGAAACCGAGGUCAAAAAGUAGACUAAAAGGAAUUGUUCCACUAUGGUAAUUUGCGGAACCUCCAAGAAAAUCUAUGAAAAGAAAAGGACCGUCAAAGUCAAGAAUAAUAACGCUAAUUGGCUAGCUAACUAGCCGCUAACUAGCCACCAGUCAUACAUGCAGGGGGGCAGGGACGCCAUGGCUCCUCACCAGCUGGCUGUCAGCCUCCAGUCGGCGCCCUCCAUGAUCUCCCAGAAAGUGCAGUUAACUUACCAGCUGUUCUUGCUGGAAAAUGCCCGGAAUAAACUUGAACAAGACCUUCGCAACUUCACCAUCAAGGCCUAUAAAGAUGUCCAAGGUUACCUGAAUUCAUCUUGUCCCAGGAGCUUGUUCAGUGAUCUCUCAAAAGCUUUAGAUGUGAAAUGUCAAACAGUCGCAAAGGUUUCAGCUUUAUUAAAGGACCUCACAGCUGACCCGCAGGUUUGUCUCCUUCCUAAAGUUAAAAAUGGAGUCAGCGGAAAUCGGAUGCAGCAGCUUGGCGUCAAAGAGAUUCAGAUUACAGAUGUUUUUAAGUUUGGGCCCAUGUUAAAGAACUCACUGAUGGCGAGCUCAAUAGCAAAAGCAAUCCAGGUACUGGGAGCCACGGUGUCUCUUCAGCAGCUACAACGCUUCCUCACCUCAAAGCCUGCAGCAGACUAUCAGGACGACAUGAUAUGCAGGCGUUCUUCGAGCCUCACCAGCACUGUUUUGGCUUCCAGUUGUGAUUUUAAGGUUGAAGAAAAGCAGGUUGAUUUUGAGGAGAAGAGCCAAGCGGAUGCUGGGAUUUUUCCACCUGUCACUGAUGAGAGCCAUGACAGAAGGGCAGAGAGGCCUCAAAUACUUUUACCUCCCUUAAAAGCUGUUUUCCCCGAGCUCAGUAACCCAAAACCCAUGAACACCACACCACUAUUACACUGGAGAUGUGAAGAUGAUGUCAAGGUGCAAUACCAAAAACAAACAUCCUCCCAGCUGCUGCACUUCCUCAGAGCAAAAGUUAAAAACAUGGGUUCACUGGAGGUCACGGACAUGGAGUGGGCUAAACGUCCAUACACUUCAGAUUUACAGCAGCCUGUGUCACCUACCAUUACAACACAAAGAGACCAGUUCAGUCACGUUGUCACCGAUCUGGUAGAAGUUCUUGCUCCAAAACCUUUGAAUGCAAAGUUUGAAACCCAAGACCCAGUCUUCAGAGUGAAAAAAGCAGAGUCAAGUGGCUCUCUCAUCUAUAGUUGCGUGAUUGCAACACAAACUGAACUCUGGGAUAUUGGAGACAUCUUCGCAGAGGUAGUGGAGAGGGGCUCUGAUCCUGGCCCCUUGGGAAGUGAAGACUGCCAAAAUAUAACUACUCUGCCAGAGAUCGUGGGUGUGAAUAUCCACUGGAAACCCAGAAGUCCCAAGUGCACAGACCCUGAACAUGAUAACGGUUCUGAUGGUGCGAAAAUGGCAACAACCAGCAGUUUAAAGAUUCCCGAUUUCCAGAUUCGAAGAUUUGAAGAGACUGAGGUUGUGGUGUCUCACACUGUGAGUCCGAGCAACUUCUACAUCCAGCAGGCAGACUCCCAUGAGAAGCUACAGGCCUUUGCCACAGACUGGAAAGCCAGUAAUUCAUAUGCUGAGCAGAACUGCAUUCCAGAUAUUGGAACCGUAGUAAUGGGUUGGUUCGCCGAGCGAGAACAAUGGUGCAGGAGCCAGGUGAUAAAGAUAUGUGGAGUGAGCAGAGGUGGGUUCUGUCGUUGUAUUGAAAUGUUUUUGCAGAUGUAUGCCUCUAGAUGGUAGCAGUGUCACUUUGUUUUGCUGGUAGCCACUUGGGAAUGUCACACUGGAUUUUUUGUCUUGCUUUGUAUACUCUCUGUCUUUUGGAUGUAAGAUGGUGCUGGGACAGAGACAUCCAUCAAGGUGGAAGUGAAAAGGUUGGACUAUGGUGACACUGCCUGUCUGUCACUGUCAAAUAUAAAGGAGCUGACCCCUGAAAUGGCUACUGUACCACUUCAGGCUGUGCAGGUUUCACUGGCUAAUGUGAUGCCUGUGAAUGGGAGAGAUUGGUCUGAAGAGGCAGUCGGCUGGUUCAAAGCGACUGUGCACAACAGGACCCUCUAUGCUAGGCUGUACCAACAGGAAGGCAAAGUUACAGUCGAGCUGUUCAUGGAGAAGGGAAAGCUCGGAGCCAUGAGGAGGGGUGCUUCAAUGUCUUUGAGACUGGCCCAAAAUGGACACGCCAUCCACAGCAAACUUAAGAAGACUAGUCUCAUUAAAAGAAACAGUGUUCAGCUUAAAGCCCAGAAACAGGACUCUGACUGGGAGAAGUAUCUCAUAUCAUGCUACACUCAAAGGAAGUAGUUCAGGUGUGUGUGUGUGUGUGCGUGUGUGCGUGCGUGUGUGUGUGUGUGCGUGCAUGUGUGUGUGUGUGUGUGUGAGAGAUUAUGUUGGUAUCCUUUUAUCCUAUUUGAAUGAUUGCACAACCAGUACUAAAGUUAAAAUGCAAGCUUACUGUACCAUGCAGCUCGAACAUAUAGUGUAUACCAACAUUGUUUAUAGUGUAAAACCUAAACGAGUAAAAUGUUUGAAUGAGGAACAAAAAUAUUCCGUUUAGACUGACCAUCUGUGUGCAACAUACAGUGGACUGAGUUGUCGCCAACUUGAAAGGCUAUACAAAGUUGAAAGGUAUUUGGGGAAAAAAUUAAAUGUAGAUUUAUAAAGGAUUGACUGGACUAGUACACAUUAAGUCGUGUGUGUGUGUGUGUGUGUAUAUAUAAGCUAUUUUGUGUAUUUUUAGUUCAUACAGUUAGAGCUGGAAAACUGUUUCAACUAAGCAUACAUUUAUGUUCUCUCUAAGAUGACUAAACGGGAAAUUUCUUUCAUCUUUUGUAUCUCAAGCUUUUCUUCUUUAUGUAAAGGGAAAGGAUACAAAACUAGUUUUGCUUGUUUUAUUUUGACUAUGUAAUUUGAAGAUAUUGGUUAACCUGUUCCCUUUCCUAGGUUUAAAAACAGAACUGUAUUUCAAGUCCUGAUUAUUUUUAGCCACUAGACGGUGCCAGCUCAGUCUGAUUACCCGCUCUCUAUUAAGUUGUAUUCCUAUCUAUAUUAUUACCUUAUCUGCAUGCUACAACAGGUCUUUUUUGGUUUUGUUUUUUAAAUGUAUAAUUUUUCUUUGAUAAUCAUCACUGAAAAGCUUUACUGACUUGAUUAUAUUGUUCUUAUGCAAUGGCAAACUUAUCUUUAUUUUUGCAUAUUUGCCUUUGAAAUAAAAAUGUGUUCUCUACAAUUGUACAUUUGUGUUUCUUCCUUGUGUAGAGAAAAUGUAAAUGAGGUGCAGUUCAUUCAGAUUAUUAGCAGGCCACCCAAACCCUCCCACUACACUGUCAGAAGUGACGGUACGGCC